AAUGGGUCAGCGACUUAUAUUCUGUAGCAAGGUUAACCGAAUAGGGGAGCCGAAGGGAAACCGAGUCUUAACUGGGCGUUAAGUUGCAGGGUAUAGACCCGAAACCCGGUGAUCUAGCCAUGGGCAGGUUGAAGGUUGGGUAACACUAACUGGAGGACCGAACCGACUAAUGUUGAAAAAUUAGCGGAUGACUUGUGGCUGGGGGUGAAAGGCCAAUCAAACCGGGAGAUAGCUGGUUCUCCCCGAAAGCUAUUUAGGUAGCGCCUCGUGAAUUCAUCUCCGGGGGUAGAGCACUGUUUCGGCAAGGGGGUCAUCCCGACUUACCAACCCGAUGCAAACUGCGAAUACCGGAGAAUGUUAUCACGGGAGACACACGGCGGGUGCUAACGUCCGUCGUGAAGAGGGAAACAACCCAGACCGCCAGCUAAGGUCCCAAAGUCAUGGUUAAGUGGGAAACGAUGUGGGAAGGCCCAGACAGCCAGGAUGUUGGCUUAGAAGCAGCCAUCAUUUAAAGAAAGCGUAAUAGCUCACUGGUCGAGUCGGCCUGCGCGGAAGAUGUAACGGGGCUAAACCAUGCACCGAAGCUGCGGCAGCGACACUAUGUGUUGUUGGGUAGGGGAGCGUUCUGUAAGCCUGUGAAGGUGUACUGUGAGGUAUGCUGGAGGUAUCAGAAGUGCGAAUGCUGACAUAAGUAACGAUAAAGCGGGUGAAAAGCCCGCUCGCCGGAAGACCAAGGGUUCCUGUCCAACGUUAAUCGGGGCAGGGUGAGUCGACCCCUAAGGCGAGGCCGAAAGGCGUAGUCGAUGGGAAACAGGUUAAUAUUCCUGUACUUGGUGUUACUGCGAAGGGGGGACGGAGAAGGCUAUGUUGGCCGGGCGACGGUUGUCCCGGUUUAAGCGUGUAGGCUGGUUUUCCAGGCAAAUCCGGAAAAUCAAGGCUGAGGCGUGAUGACGAGGCACUACGGUGCUGAAGCAACAAAUGCCCUGCUUCCAGGAAAAGCCUCUAAGCAUCAGGUAACAUCAAAUCGUACCCCAAACCGACACAGGUGGUCAGGUAGAGAAUACCAAGGCGCUUGAGAGAACUCGGGUGAAGGAACUAGGCAAAAUGGUGCCGUAACUUCGGGAGAAGGCACGCUGAUAUGUAGGUGAAGUCCCUCGCGGAUGGAGCUGAAAUCAGUCGAAGAUACCAGCUGGCUGCAACUGUUUAUUAAAAACACAGCACUGUGCAAACACGAAAGUGGACGUAUACGGUGUGACGCCUGCCCGGUGCCGGAAGGUUAAUUGAUGGGGUUAGCGGUAACGCGAAGCUCUUGAUCGAAGCCCCGGUAAACGGCGGCCGUAACUAUAACGGUCCUAAGGUAGCGAAAUUCCUUGUCGGGUAAGUUCCGACCUGCACGAAUGGCGUAAUGAUGGCCAGGCUGUCUCCACCCGAGACUCAGUGAAAUUGAACUCGCUGUGAAGAUGCAGUGUACCCGCGGCAAGACGGAAAGACCCCGUGAACCUUUACUAUAGCUUGACACUGAACAUUGAGCCUUGAUGUGUAGGAUAGGUGGGAGGCUUUGAAGUGUGGACGCCAGUCUGCAUGGAGCCGACCUUGAAAUACCACCCUUUAAUGU
Molecule: ribosomal RNA, 1615 nt
Filed under: Escherichia coli
Lineage: Bacteria; Pseudomonadati; Pseudomonadota; Gammaproteobacteria; Enterobacterales; Enterobacteriaceae
Description: partial 23S ribosomal RNA
Rfam family: Bacterial large subunit ribosomal RNA
Source: RNAcentral